Molecule: long non-coding RNA, 225 nt
Organism: Fukomys damarensis (Damara mole-rat)
Lineage: Eukaryota; Metazoa; Chordata; Mammalia; Rodentia; Bathyergidae
Exons: 3
Source: RefSeq, a predicted model, not a curated record
AGAACGAGUCCACUGUACCUACAUGGGGGAUUCUUGGCUUAUCUGCAGCGUGAUAUACUGGACUACUUUGGAUCACACAGAAAUAUGAACCACCUACUUUAUGUAUCUUGUGACCACUAAUACCUCGUUGACCCAGCUCAUUUUGAGCUUAUUCUUUUAAGAUUCAGUUGGUGGCUGGCUGGAUCUAAUGCAGAAAUAUGGCAAAAGUGCAUAGUGUAACAAAGC